This is a non-coding RNA of Heterocephalus glaber (naked mole-rat), 585 nucleotides long. The record is from RefSeq and is a predicted model, not a curated record. Lineage: Eukaryota; Metazoa; Chordata; Mammalia; Rodentia; Bathyergidae.
UGGCAAGGUACAUAGACACAGACAUAUGCCCCACAGAUUUGUGGCACUACCUAGUGGCUGGGCAUCCCUAAUAAGUCCUCAGAGAAAUACAGAGAGACCAUCUGCAGGAGUCAUUGGUAGGUCCUUUCUGUGCUUGCCAAUGGAAAUCAGGACCUACAAAAGACUUAAUGAAUUAAUCAAGUUAUUUUCAUCAUCAGCGUUUCAGACCAACAUACUAGUGAGAUUCAGUGGCAACCUUUUCCUGGAAGCAAAUCCUAAUCAUGAGCUGACCAACAUCAAUUCUACAAAGACAAUAUGAGAUGAAUUUAUUUUUUGCUAUAGGGCAUCUGAGAAAUGUGUCUUUAGCUGAUUUCAUCAUAAGUCCUCAGAGAACUCACCAAAGUGACUUCUACGUGAGUGAAUCCUAGGAAUUCCAAGACUAGUAAAAUAUCUCACUUCAUCUUAUCUUAAUAAAAGUUGUAAGAGGAGGAGUUGGCUUAAGGACUUAAUAAAGAGAUUUUAAUACAGCUGGUCUAUGAAAACUUUACAUAAGAAGGCUUUGAAGGAAUAAAGAAAUCUCCAUCUCUAACUGCAGAAUUCCUGUGU